RNAcentral lists this ribosomal RNA (459 nucleotides) under uncultured bacterium. RNAcentral's name for it is "partial 16S ribosomal RNA". It matches the Rfam family "Bacterial small subunit ribosomal RNA", at positions 338 to 795 of the family's 1533-position model. The record is from RNAcentral.
CCUACGGAGGGCAGCAGUGAGGAAUAUUGGUCAAUGGCCGGAAGCCUGAACCAGCCAAGCAGCGUGCAGGAUGAAGGUCCCACGCAUCGUAAACUUCUUUUGCCCGGGGACAAAAUCCUGCUCGUGCGCCUGACUGCGUGUACUGUACGAAUAAGCAUCGGCUAAUUCCGUGCCAGCAGCCGCGGUAAUACGGAGGACCCGAGCGUUAUCCGGAUUUAUUGGGUUUAAAGGGUGCGUAGGCGGGCGGUUAAGUCAGCGGUAAAAGCCCGCGGCUCAACCCCGGCGAGCCGUUGAAACUGGAAGUCUUGAGAUGACAAGAGGCAGGCGGAAUGCGUGGUGUAGCGGUGAAAUGCAUAGAUAUCGCGAAGAACCCCGAUUGCGAAGGCAGCAUGCCGGGGGGGGACUGACGCUGAGGCUCGAAGGCGUGGGUAUCGAACAGGAUUAGAUACCCGUGUAGUC